GAAUUCUACCACCAGCAGGAAUAGUGCGAACAAUGCAAGCCAAUAAUGCUCUUUCAUCAAGAAGUGGAGUUUCUGAGGUUUUCCCCACCAUCAUUGGAAUUUUCAGCCCAGAAGAAACAAAAACUUCAGGUACAACCGCCCCAGAUGCAGAAGCAUUGUUGAUAACCAUUUCACUGACAUUUACAUUGUGAACCGAGGAAGAAUCAGAGGUUAAUGUACUGACAGCAGGACUUAAUUUUCCCCCACUUAAACCUUGCUCCUCG
This 263-nucleotide unclassified non-coding RNA is filed under the name Hevea brasiliensis (rubber tree). The record is from RNAcentral. Lineage: Eukaryota; Viridiplantae; Streptophyta; Magnoliopsida; Malpighiales; Euphorbiaceae.